This 1267-nucleotide long non-coding RNA is filed under the name Cricetulus griseus (Chinese hamster). RNAcentral's name for it is "lncRNA (ENSCGRG00015035274.1)". The record is from RNAcentral. Lineage: Eukaryota; Metazoa; Chordata; Mammalia; Rodentia; Cricetidae.
AUUACCAAGUCACCCGCUAAGCAUUACUGCUGGCCUGCGCAUACGUUGAACCUCAUGGCCUGAGAUGCCGGGACUCUGUACACUUCAACUGCACCAUUUUACCAACUAAGCAUCUCUGGAACUCACUCAUCUGCCUGUUUGCUACAAUCCGGCUUUUUAUAACAGAGAGAUAGGCCAGCUGCUGGUUCCACCCCAUUUCCACCAAGAAGACUGAUGGGCACUGAAGAAGCUUCAUCUUGAGUCAAUGACAACACUAGUCACUGAGCAACCCUGCCCUUCACCUCAACUGCUACAAAGUAUUCCAGACUGUGGACAAGAGGACAGUGGAAUCGACUUUCCCUGUGUUGCUUGGGCCAACGGAUUCUUGUAAGUUCCAGUGAGCGGAAUUGGAUCCAAACAAACAGGUCUAAGAGGCGCCAGGGAGUUCUGCACAGCCUGGACUGCAAUGAAACAACCAGCUACACCAGGACUUGGCAGCACCCUAACCUUCUCAGGUCCCCCAAAGAUGGUCAACGACCCCCACAUCAGCAGGAAGCAGUCUUGAGAAUUCGAUGUCCAUCCUUAUUCCUUAACCUGCUAUGUCUAAUACCCCACCUUUUUAAAUAAUAAGUAGAGGUGGGAAUGAAAGGUUCAGGCUUUAAUGCUGAUCGGCAAUAUCUCUUUAAGAGACAGACCCUGCCCCCUGACAACAGUCAGGGCACGCACAGGGACGUGCCAUCACCAAGUCACCCACUAUGCAUUACAGCCUGUGUGAGGACUCUGGGCAUUCGUGGAACCUCAGUGAGCAUGCUCAGUCUUCCCUUUAAAAGUUCCAACAUCCCUGCUGCUCUCUCUCUCUCUCUCUCUCUCUCUCUCAUCUCUCUCUCUCUCUACUUCACUCUCUCUUCUCCCACCCACGUGCUCUCUCUGCCUCUCUAUGGCAUCUGGCCAUGGUGGUCAGUCAUUACCCCUGUUCCUCUUCUCUCUUAGUCUCCCUACUCUGCCGGGCCCAUAUAACAUACUAGUCAAUAUGUCUCAUCUUGCGUCCUCCUCUUUUUCUUCAAAAACAUAACACUGGGAAUGUAUGCAUGCGCCACCAUGCCCAGAGUUCUUCUAAUAGUUGCUACCUACACUGGUCCUGGUGGGCCCUAGUACCCAACACCUACAGACUCCUAUUUAAGUAUAACUAAGUAACCGUUGGCUAAUGUUUCCUAAAUAAUUUUAUUUAAAAAAAACGGCAUGCUAAAAUAUGAAUCUAAAAAAUUAACUAUAUUUAUCAAAGGAAUGC